CUUAAGUGGGGAAUAACGCAUCGAAAGGUGUGCUAAUACCGCAUAAUCUCUGAGGAGAAAAGCAGGGGAUCGCAAGACCUUGCGCUUUUGGAGCGGCCGAUGUCUGAUUAGCUUGUUGGUAAGGUAAAAGCUUACCAAGGCUUCGAUCAGUAGCUGGUCUGAGAGGACGACCAGCCACACUGGGACUGAGACACGGCCCAGACUCCUACGGGAGGCAGCAGUGGGGAAUUUUGGACAAUGGGGGCAACCCUGAUCCAGCCAUGCCGCGUGAGUGAAGAAGGCUUUCGGGUUGUAAAGCUCUUUCAGCCGGAACGAAACGGUUACGGUUAAUACCCGUGACUACUGACGGUACCGGAAGAAGAAGCACCGGCUAACUACGUGCCAGCAGCCGCGGUAAUACGUAGGGUGCGAGCGUUAAUCGGAAUUACUGGGCGUAAAGCGUGCGCAGGUGGUUUUGUAAGUCAGAUGUGAAAUCCCCGGGCUCAACCUGGGAACUGCGUUUGAAACUACAAGGCUAGAGUGUGGCAGAGGGGGGUGGAAUUCCGCGUGUAGCAGUGAAAUGCGUAGAGAUGUGGAGGAACACCGAUGGCGAAGGCAGCCCCCUGGGUCAACACUGACGCUCAGGCACGAAAGCAUGGGGAGCAAACAGGAUUAGAUACCCUGGUAGCCCAUGCCCUAAACGAUGUCAACUAGUUGUCGGGCCUUAACGGGCUUGGUAACGUAGCUAACGCGUGAAGUUGACCGCCUGGGGAGUACGAUCGCAAGAUUAAAACUCAAAGGAAUUGACGGGGACCCGCACAAGCGGUGGAUUAUGUGGAUUAAUUCGAUGCAACGCGAAAAACCUUACCUACCCUUGACAUGUAUCGAAGCCCGCAGAAAAGCGGGGGUGCCCGAAAGGGAACGAUAACACAGGUGCUGCAUGGCUGUCGUCAGCUCGUGUCGUGAGAUGUUGGGUUAAGUCCCGCAACGAGCGCAACCCUUGUCAUUAAUUGCCAUCAUUUAGUUGGGCACUUUAAUGAGACUGCCGGUGACAAACCGGAGGAAGGUGGGGAUGACGUCAAGUCCUCAUGGCCCUUAUGGGUAGGGCUUCACACGUAA
RNAcentral lists this ribosomal RNA (1098 nucleotides) under uncultured ammonia-oxidizing bacterium. RNAcentral describes it as "bacterial SSU rRNA". It matches the Rfam family "Bacterial small subunit ribosomal RNA", at positions 131 to 1225 of the family's 1533-position model. The record is from RNAcentral.